CCUACGGGUGGCAGCAGUGAGGAAUAUUGGUCAAUGGGCGGGAGCCUGAACCAGCCAAGCCGCGUGAGGGAAGAAGGUACAGCGUAUCGUAAACCUCUUUUGUCAGGGAACAAAGGCGGGGACUAGUCCCCGGAUGAGGGUACCUGAAGAAAAAGCAUCGGCUAACUCCGUGCCAGCAGCCGCGGUAAUACGGAGGAUGCGAGCGUUAUCCGGAUUUAUUGGGUUUAAAGGGUGCGUAGGUGGUUAAUUAAGUCAGCGGUGAAAGUUUGUGGCUCAACCAUAAAAUUGCCGUUGAAACUGGUUGACUUGAGUAUAUUUGAGGUAGGCGGAAUGCGUGGUGUAGCGGUGAAAUGCAUAGAUAUCACGCAGAACUCCGAUUGCGAAGGCAGCUUACUAAACUAUAACUGACACUGAAGCACGAAAGCGUGGGGAUCAAACAGGAUUAGAUACCCUUGUAGUC
RNAcentral lists this ribosomal RNA (460 nucleotides) under uncultured bacterium. Its description in RNAcentral is "partial 16S ribosomal RNA". It matches the Rfam family "Bacterial small subunit ribosomal RNA", at positions 338 to 795 of the family's 1533-position model. The record is from RNAcentral.